GUUUUCGGUAGGUGAACCUGCGUGAGGAUCAUUAUUGUAUAACUGAGAUUGCUGGGGCUGUCGCUGACCUUUUGAAAGAAAAGGUUGUGCACGCCCAAGUGCUCUCUCGCAUCCCAUAUUUUCACCCCUUUGUGCAUCACCGCGUGGGCUACCCUUUUUGACUUGUUCAGAAGGGGGUGUUCGCGUUUUUACAAUACACCCCGUUUUUAAUGUAUGUGUAGAAUGUCUUGCUUUUUGCGAUCACACGCAAUAAAUACAACUUUCAACAACGGAUCUCUUGGCUCUCGCAUCGAUGAAGAACGCAGCGAAAUGCGAUACGUAAUGUGAAUUGCAGAAUUCAGUGAAUCAUCGAAUCUUUGAACGCACCUUGCACCCCUUGGUAUUCCGAGGGGUACACCCGUUUGAGUGUCAUGAAACACCCUCAACCUUCUUGGUUUCUUGACUGGGAAGGAUUGGACUUUGGAGGUUUUUACCUUGCUGGUCUCUUUUGAAGCCAGCUCCUCCUAAAUGAAUUAGUGGGGUGGGAUCUGCUUUGCUAACCCUUGACGUGAUAAGUAUGCUUCUAUGUCUUGGGUUUUGCACUGUUGCCUCAGAAACCUGCUUCCAACCAUCUUUGAAUAAAGACAAUGUUCAAGUUGUGACUUGACCUUAGAAACCUUGACCUCAAAUCGGGUGAGACUACCCGCUGAACUUAAGCAUAUCAAUAAGCGGAGGAAAAGAAACUAACAAGGAUUCCCCUAGUAACUGCGAGUGAAGCGGGAAAAGCUCAAAUUAAAA
Molecule: ribosomal RNA, 777 nt
Filed under: uncultured Russula
Lineage: Eukaryota; Fungi; Basidiomycota; Agaricomycetes; Russulales; Russulaceae
Description: eukaryotic LSU rRNA
Rfam family: 5.8S ribosomal RNA (bases 258-411)
Source: RNAcentral